RNAcentral lists this ribosomal RNA (321 nucleotides) under uncultured eukaryote. RNAcentral's name for it is "partial 18S ribosomal RNA". It matches the Rfam family "Eukaryotic small subunit ribosomal RNA", at positions 1470 to 1796 of the family's 1831-position model. The record is from RNAcentral.
CCCUUAGAUGUCCUGGGCCGCACGCGCGCUACACUGACAUGUUCAACAAGCCUCCUAGUUCGACAGGAUUUGGGAAAUCUUUGAACGCAUGUCGUGAUAGGGAUAGAUCAUUGCAAUUAUUGAUCUUGAACGGGGAAUUCCUAGUAAACGCGAGUCAUCAGCUCGCAUUGAUUACGUCCCUGCCCUUUGUACACACCGCCCGUCGCACCUACCGAUUGAAUGUUUCGGUGAAGAUUCCGGAUAGGACUUUUUUGAUUUAUUUCAAUUUUGUCUUAAAAGCUAUCUAAACCUCAACAUUUAGAGGAAGGUGAAGUCGUAACA